RNAcentral lists this long non-coding RNA (2358 nucleotides) under Nicotiana tabacum (common tobacco). RNAcentral's name for it is "long non-coding RNA (NTAB_LNC006920)". The record is from RNAcentral. Lineage: Eukaryota; Viridiplantae; Streptophyta; Magnoliopsida; Solanales; Solanaceae.
CGAAGUGGAAACUAACCAAUUUAGAUGUGGAGAAGAACGAAGCCAGCCGCACAAUUUGUUAUUUGUCAAUUUCAACAAGAAAGAACAAGUUAGAAGAAGAGUAAGCUUUUAGAUCCUCUGGCAUACAGAUUCUGGGUAAUGAAGGGAAGGGAGGAAUAAGAGCAGAGAUAUGAGAGAAGAAGUGUUGAAUCCGCGAAGAGAGAUCAAACGGUGAGUUAACAGUUGUUAAAGUUGGGUUACAAGUGUGGGCUGCAAAUAAAAGACAUAAGAUAGUAUUGGCCCUUAUUUACAAAUAACAGCAAAUAGUUCAGUUGAACUAUUAUCAAAUUAUUAAAUUUAUAGAUCAAACAAAGUAAUCAACUGUGAGCAAACGAGCACAUAUACUAAAAGGUAAACAGUGAAAUAUGAAGAGAAAACCCAAGCAGAACAACGUCUAAUACAGAAUUUAUUCAGCGGUCAUAGCUAAACAAUUUUAUAAAGUGUCAAAUAUAACCCUAAAAGUGAAGAUCAUAUUUUCCAAAAAGAAGGGCAUCGAAGUAAUCUAACCUGGACAGAUAAUCUUUAACUCAAAAUAUAUCCGUGAUCCCAUAAAAAUCUGAAGAGAUAAUGUUUAACCCCCAACGUUUAUUGUUGAUCCCCAUGAAACACAGGUGUUAGCAAACUAAGAAAACAACUGAAACCACCAAAAAACAAGAGGAGCCUGAUGUUACACGUUUGAGAAGAGAAAGAGACAUGUAUCCCUUACUCUCUUCCUUAUUAGGUUUGGAAUUGAAAUUAGGAACUUUUUUAGGCUGCAUCUUUAAUUCUUUUCUUAAAUCUUUUAUGCUAUUUUUCAUGUUUGUUGAUUAUAAUUAAAAUUUUAAAAAAUAUGUUCAGUUUUUUAGGACUGGCAACGGCAACAGUCCACGAGGUCAUUAUCCAAUUGAAGGAUUUAGAUUUAUUCUUGUUUUCGCUAUAGGGACUUAGAGUGUAGUCAGUCACACAAUUUUAUUCUUAAUGAUAUCUGCCAUUAGAAAAGCACUUGGAGUAACGAGAGCAGGUGAUAGUGAUACCACUCAAUUUGCAGUUUGCAUUUCACUGAGUGGAAGUGUAAAAGCCAGAAAAUUAUUUAUCAACACCCACAUAUUAAUUUGAAGUAUCGUUUGUAUUAGGAUUCUAUCCAUUAUUUUCAGCUUUUAUUUUUUGGCUGGAGCUUUGCCAAGAAGUUGUUUGGAGCUGAUUAUUAGAAUAUUUAAAAAGAAAAAAAUUAAUGCUUCAUAAUCUCUAUUUAGCAUUUAUUUUGCUGUUUCUUUUAGGUUCUGGGAUAGAAAGAAUUAGAAUGCAUUUUUAUUUCAAUUUUAAAGUUUCAAAUUUUGUGUCGAUCUGAGAAAAUCUUUAUGAUAAUUUCCUUUAUAUAUGAGAAGCCCUCUAAUCUGCUGUGAAUGAAACCAUAGUUAAUGGAGGUGUAACCUUUUUGUCCUCGAAUUCUUGUGAAUGAGAUGAAAAAUUUAAGGAGCUGUUAGAGAAUGCAUAGAAGAUGCAUGAUACAGGUAUCUUUCAAAGUUCAUUUUCUUUAAUGCAAAGGAAAAGAGAAAGAACUCCUAAAAGAAAUAAUCCAAACGUGAUUGUUGUAUUUUGGCUGCAGCUUUGGCUAUGUAUUGGAGUAAUUACAUACUUUGUUGUGGUUAUGAUUUUGGAAGCUACUGUUAAAAGAGAUGAUAAUAUGUACAACAGGGAGGCAAAAUGAAGAAAAAGCCAAGCAAUACUUUAUACGUUUGAAGAAACUAACAACAUAGCUAAGUAAUGGUAGCUCUACUUACCAUCAAUUAGCAACACAAAUAGUGUGACAUAAAGUUUUCACUUCUCUGGAAUUUACUAUUGGUAAACUACAGGUAAGUUAGAUUUGUUGUUACGCAAGUUACUCCUUGGUCGAAAAAUAAAAAUACGCCAUGAUAUAUCACAUGUAAUGACGUUGAGAUUGCUUUGUGCAAUAUUUAUGCAUCUUGAGCUACUUAUCUUGGAUGAUUCGUUAUUAUGUCAUUCAUAUGCUUGGUUGAAACAGAGCAGGAGGUAGCACUUGAGGGCUUUGCCGGAGUAGUUCGUAUGGAACCUGAGAAGGCUGAGUGGUAAGGGGUUUAUUAAGUUAAUAAACUCCUUAUCAAAAAAAGUAUGAUAGCUGGUAUAUUGAUCAACUACUUCCCAUCUGUGUUUGCUUUAUAAAGAAAAUUGAGUUUUAUCUAUAGGAUUUAUGAUGUUGAAAAUUGGUGGAGUAUUGGAUGUUGAUGUUUUCUUAGUUAGAAAAAUUAGUUUGAUGAUUUUACACAAUUAGAUUAUAAGGCGAUAACAUUCUAUAUAAUUAACCCCAAUAUAUUCUUCUNN